Molecule: ribosomal RNA, 430 nt
Filed under: uncultured bacterium
Lineage: Bacteria
Description: bacterial SSU rRNA
Rfam family: Bacterial small subunit ribosomal RNA
Source: RNAcentral
CCUACGGGAGGCAGCAGUGGGGAAUAUUGGGCAAUGGGCGCAAGCCUGACCCAGCGACGCCGCGUGGGGGAUGAAGGCCUUCGGGUCGUAAACCCCUGUCAGGAGGGAAGAAGCGGGCUUUGCCCGUGACGGUACCUCCAGAGGAAGCCCGGCUAACUACGUGCCAGCAGCCGCGGUAAUACGUAGGGGGCUAGCGUUGUCCGGAUUCACUGGGCGUAAAGCGCACGCAGGCGGCCCAGUAAGUCGGACGUGAAAUCCCACGGCUCAACCGUGGAAUUGCGUUCGAUACUGCUGGGCUAGAGGACGGGAGAGGAAGGUGGAAUUCCCGGUGUAGCGGUGAAAUGCGCAGAUAUCGGGAGGAACACCAGUGGCGAAGGCGGCCUUCUGGCCCGUUCCUGACGCUCAGGUGCGAAAGCCAGGGGAGCAAACA